UAAAUCAGGUGCUCUGUUAUCCUCGCUCCUUUUCACGUGUCCAUUAAAUACCCCUGGAGCUUAGCCACUCUCUGUCCCCUUCGGCUCUGGUUUCCCCGGCCAGGAGGAAGCCUUUUGUGAAACUGAGUAGCCCUCGGCAGAGGGGGUAGAUACGGCCUCAGCGUCCAGUCUGAGCAACUCCCCGGGGCACGGGCACCAAAUGAAGUCCCCUGGAAAGGGAGUGACCGACCGUCACACCAGCCAGCCUGGGGAGCAGCGGGAAUUGCCGCCUGAGGAGAGGCCCGGGUCGUCAGGUGUUCGGACCGUCCCGCCCCCUGCCCUGGGCGCCCAGCCCCGGGCCAGGGCGAGGGCGGAGCCGAGGCCCAGGUGGAGCUGGUGGAGCAGGUGGCGAGCGGGGCUCAGGUGCGCCCCAGGCCCGCAGAGGCGGAGAAGGUCGCGCUGUGGGUCCCAGGAUCCAGCUCUGGGAAGCGGGGCUGCUCCCCGCGACCCUGCCUCGCAGAAGGGCGAUGGAAGAGGAAGGGGUAAGAAACUUCAAGGAACUUCGAGCCAAAUUUCAAAACUGUGAUGCUCUGCCUCUUCUAGGACCUAUUAAAUUACCAGCAAGUGUUUCUCAAAAGGGUGACUUCGGAUGCACAAGGCCCCCCCAGAUUUUGGCCCAUGGGAAACCCCUCCCAUCCAACCACAAUUGGCCACCAUCACAUGGCUCCAUUGGUGAGUCCCAGACUCCUAAAACCCAGCAAAUGAAGUUGACCCAGAGGAGUAAAAUUCAGAAGAGCCCAAGUUUCCCAGGACUUUUGGAAAACCCUGCUGUGUGUUCUCCAAGAAAUUCCCAGGAAGCUUCUCUGCUCUUAGAUGUGAAUCGAUCCAAUACUGAGAUGACCAGUGAGGAAAAAGGAACAGUGGCCAACAGCUUUCAAGACAAGCUCAGGAAGUGGGAGAAAGUUUCAUCUCAGAAGAGUGUGACGUUCUCAGCUCUUCUCCUUACCAACGGUGGGGGUAAAGCCUUCCAUCCAGAAGAGGAGAAAAGCACAAAGUUUCUUCCACAUAGACCAAGGGAAAAGAUUCAAACAAAAUGGGCCCUGACACUCCCUUCCAAGAAGGAGUUGGCCCAAAGAAAAGCACUCGCCACCUGUGAACAACCCCCCUCUCCAUGUUCUCAAGCUGGCGAGAAGAACCAAGAAAAACCCAGUGUUGAAGGGAACUCAGCAGGUGGUCCCUGCCAGCCUGUUUAUGAAUGUGAGCUGGCCAUCCCAGCCCCAGCAAACCCGCCAGACACGCAGCAUCGCCAGCUCCCCAGAACAAAGCCACUGCCCCCUGUGGGGUCUCUGGGUCCGGCUCCCCCAAAGCCCCUGAAGCCGCCAGCUGUAGACCUCCAGGCCUUCCAGAGGCAGCCAGCUGCUCUCUCCAAGGCCCAAUACAAAGCAGACAUGAAAGAAUCCCUCUGUCCUCUGGAGAGUGCUGAAUUUGAAGAACCACAUAAUUAUGAGGCAACAAUUUCAUAUCUGAGACACUUGGGCAACUCCAUUAACCUGUGCACUGCAGAAGAAAUUGCUGACUCAACUUAUGAUGUUGGAAUUGAAGAACUCCAAAAGCCUUGGAAGAGUUUUCUCCAUCAAGAACUUCGCCCUAAACGUGAAGAUGAAGAUAAACACAUGAAGGAAAAAGACCCAUGUGGAUUGGAACAUCAAAAUUCAGAACAGGAUCCACAUUCAAAGCAUCCUUUCAAGGUAGACGUUUAUGAGGUGACACCAGAAGACAUCCAGAUGACUACCAGCCACGGAGAUAGAUGGAGCACGGUGGCUAGACAGCAGGAAACCAUGACUGAUGAAAUAGAAGCAAAGGCCUGUCCUGAGGAUAUGGACCUGGUCAGGCCCUCCCAAGGCCAGGGUGUGGAGAGUUUGGAGCUGACGACACACACCCAGGACCUGGUGGCCUUUAAGUCAUGUUCUGGGUUGCAGGCCACAUACGACGAUGUGGAUUGCCCCGUGACAGAUAUAUCCAAGUCGGAUUUCUCCAGCUCAUUUACCUCAGACAGUGUUCCAGAAGAAAGUAGUGAAGAAAUGUAUGAGGAUGUCUACAAAACAAAGAGCAAUUCCUCCCCAAUAGAUUUAGAUGGAAAAGAAGCACUCAAGAGACUGCAGCAAUUUUUCAAAAAAGAAAAGGACAGAUUUAAAAUGAAGGCAACCAAGUCAAAAGAAAAUUUAAGGGCAUUUUCAGUUUCACUGCCUGAUUUACAACUUAGGUCUCAGGAAGUUAUCAUCUAUGAUGAUGUCACCACAAGUGAGAGAAAAUCUAAUCAUGAAGAUAAAAUGAAAACUUGGAGGCCCAAUUUUCUUAUACCAAGAAGAAAAAAAGAGAAAAACCGUGUUGAAGGAUCAGAAAGUUUUUUUCCUAGAAAUUUCUUCAGAAUCAAGAAGCAAAACUCCUUAGAAAAGAAUAGAGUAAGAGAAGAAAAGCUUUUUAGACAACGAUUUCAGUACGACAAGGAAAUUACAGUCAUCAACAGAGCAGUGGUAUGUUCCAGUAAUUCAAGAAAUGGAAUAUUUGAUUUGCCAAUAACUCCUGGGGAAGAACUGGAAGUCAUUGAUACCACUGAUCAAAAUCUAGUGAUAUGUCGCAACUCAAAAGGCAAAUAUGGAUAUGUCCUCAUUGAACAUCUAGACUUCAAGCACCAAGGCUGGUCCCAUUAGGAAGGUCGCAAUUAGAUGGGAAGGCCUGUGAGAGGGAUAAGGGAUUCUAGGACCUGUCUUGCCUCACAGCAGUUUACACGUCAAAAUGAGAUGGAAUCUCUGGAAACUUUGGGAAUGCAGAAGAGAAAAGUGAACGCAAAGCCUCAACAUUUAGUGUUGGUUUUACCCUAAGUUUAUCUUUCAAUGUCUAUUUCACUGCUGGUUCAGGAGAAUGUGAAACAGUGUGUGUUCAUAUUGGAGCACUCGCCUAAUGAGCCAUAUCCAAACUUAGCAAUCAUGCCUAUGGCACCUACUCAGCUGUGCAGAUGGCUGAUCUGCUUCAGUAAUAAUUUCUAGAUGUUGUUCCAGGAUUAAAUCUGGUAUAAUUCUGGACAGUAAAUGUAGCCAAGGUCUUUUUAAAUACUCAACUUUAAGGUACAAUCUGAAAAUAAUUAUGGCUCAAAGUAUAAGUGUCCCUUUGCUUUAUCACAAAAGUGAGUAAAUGCUGUUCAAAAUUAGUUUUCUUUGGAAAUAGUGUGCUGAAAAAAAAUUAUUCCUAAAUUCAAUCAAUGUGUUGAGAAAUGUCUAAAAACAUUUAACAAAAUCUAAAAAAUAUAUAUAUAUAUAUAUAUAUGUGUGUGUGUGGUAUCACUUUAAAGCAUCUUGGUGCCUAAAAUAAGGAAAAUUAUUUUGUGUAUGCUCAAAAGCUUAAAUACUUUAUAUGUAUUUUCACAAAAGUAAACAUAUUAAAAAGCAGAGCUGAACAUUUAUUCUAUUUUAAAUGAUAUACACUGCAUGUCAAUGGGUUAAAUUCUACAUAUGCAUCCAACUUUUUAAAUUGUAGUUUUAUUGGCACUGAAAUUGAAGAAUUGCACUAUGUUCUUUAAGCAGGGUGAUUCCAACCUUUGAAGGUACUGUAUAAUGGAAUUUGUUUCCACAGCUUUGUCCUUUAUAAUUUGAGACUAUUUUUAAAGCUUCCACAUUCUUGUAUUUUCUUUUGUACGUUCCAAAAAUUGGCACUUGCCAAUAAAGACAACGUUAAUCUAAAAGACAGGAAUUAAAGGUAUUUAUAGAGUAUAGAAAAGAGGUAAAGAGAUUAUUACAAAUAGCAGAAUUUAAAAAGUUAUGAAUGAAAUGACUGCAGGAUAACUAAGGUGCUACGAAGAAGAAACUGAAGCUUGGUUUCAAAGACAUAGAGAUGGAAAAUCCACGCUGUGCCUAAUGACAGCAGAGACUCAUGGCAAAUGGAACGCAUUGCUCGUUUCAGAGGGUCAACCUGCAGCAUAUGCAUCAGAAGAGUGGCAACUGAGCGAUUGAGAUAUUCCGGGAUAUAAAACACACCCCCGCGGAUCUUCUUAAACAGUGUAGGAACGUGCUCAUCAUCAAAUGGGAGGGUGCCACACAGAAGGGCAUACAAGAUGACACCACAGCUCCAGAUAUCAACUUCAGGGCCUGCAUAUAACCUAAAGAGGAUUACAAACCUGAGAAGCAAGUAUCACUUUUUCCUCAUCUUUCUGUACCCUGCUUCUAUAUACAUAUGUAGUACAGAUCAGCAUAUUAUGAUUUUCAAAGUUUUUAAAAUAAAGUCAUGGCCACUCCUAAUACUCAAUGGUUGUUCUCCAUAAGGAAUAAUUGGGCUAACCAGUCACCAUGCAAGUUUGCCAAGAGAAUGUGGUAUAUAUAUUUGUCACCAACUCAUUUAAUUGUAAUUUACUAACUAAAAAUUAUAACACUUUCUAUGGGUGAUUUUUAAAGGAAAUAUCAAAAUAGAUAAUUAUAAACUUUAAAAAACACUAGCAUAGUAUAUAGGCUCACUCUUCUCCCAUAGAACUAUUACAAGAAAGAAAAUGCACGUAUCAGAAUGUUUAUCCCUUGCACACCUGUUUUAAACAAUAUUUGAAACAUUAAAGUAGCAAACUAGUACUAUGGAGAGAGAAUUUGUACCUACUACUUUUAUUCUACUAAUCACUUGUUAGCUCACAGAACUAAGAUUAGUUUUGCUCUGGGUAACCUGUAUCUACAGUUCUCAGCUAUUUUUUCUCUCACCUUCCUACAGCAUUAAAAUUCCCAACAGUGAAUUAACAAACUCAAACCUGGGCUGAGGUGACAAAAGUGCAACUCCAAUGCAAAGGACAGAAAAUAUUUCUAUAAAAAUUGCUGUUCUUCAUUUGUAUCAUUUGCUAUAGGACUCAAACUCCUUGCGAUGGACUGCAUGUUCAUGUCCCCUGAAAAUACAUACGCUGAAAUCUUAACUCCCAAAGCGAUGGCAUUAGGAGGUGGAGACUCUAGGGGGAGAUGAGGUCAUGAGGGUGAAACUCUCAUGAUGGGAUUAGGGCCCUUACAGAGAUCGAUGCCCGUUCCACCACAUGAGGUUACAAUAAGCAGACAGUGGACUACGGGGAACCGGUCCUACCAGACAUCAACUCUGCCAGCACCUUGCUUUUAGAUUUCUCAGCCUCUAGAAAAGUGAGAAAUAAAUUUCCAUUGUUUAAAAGCCACUCUGUCUGUGAUAUUCUGUUACAGUGUCCCAAGUGGAUUACAACACUCCUAUAUCUGCUACUUGUACUACUUUCCUUUAUCUGCCACUUUUCAGUAUUUUCUGAGAAUUACUUUUUAAAUCACCAUUGGCCAUUGCAGAAAGACGACUUCAUCACUGUAAUCUGCAUAAAUGUGAUCAUAUUGUACCCAUCAAUAAACUACACAAAUAGCCUCCA
Heterocephalus glaber (naked mole-rat) is the source of this 5383-nucleotide non-coding RNA. The record is from RefSeq and is a predicted model, not a curated record. NCBI's taxonomy places the organism in Eukaryota, Metazoa, Chordata, Mammalia, Rodentia, Bathyergidae.